GCGGCCCUAGCUGUACUGAAACAUUUGAUGUUCGGACGCCAUAAUCGGUUAGGUUCAUAACCUAUAUAAAAUAUUAACAAUAAUCAAUACCCAUUAACAAAGAGUGCAAUCAUCAUUAUGAUAAUUUUUUUUUUUUUGAAUAAUCAAAUAGGUUCUGGGCCAAAACCCAUCAUUAUUAUAUUAUAUAUAUAAUCAGUCUACACAAUGAAGAUAAGAAUAACAAUAAACAAUUACUCGGAACUCCAUCAGGUGUAGCAAGACAAUGAACAAAAGAUAUGACGAGGAAGAUUGUAAAACAAAAUACCACAAAAGUUUUCAUAGCGUUAGCUAUUAUUUUAGUGAUAAUUCUCUCAAAUUUUUUAAUGAGUUAUUCUUUACCUAGACUGAUUAUAUAUAUAAUAUAAGAACACAAAUUAUGUUUCAUGUGUUUUUUCCUGGUCAAAGCACAA
RNAcentral lists this long non-coding RNA (449 nucleotides) under Capsella rubella. Its description in RNAcentral is "long non-coding RNA (CRUB_LNC003919)". The record is from RNAcentral. Lineage: Eukaryota; Viridiplantae; Streptophyta; Magnoliopsida; Brassicales; Brassicaceae.